CAGCAGCCGCGGGAAUACGUAGGGUGCAAGCGUUAAUCGGAAUUACUGGGCGUAAAGCGUGCGCAGGCGGUUAUAUAAGACAGAUGUGAAAUCCCCGGGCUCAACCUGGGAACUGCAUUUGUGACUGUAUAGCUAGAGUACGGCAGAGGGGGAUGGAAUUCCGCGUGUAGCAGUGAAAUGCGUAGAUAUGCGGAGGAACACCGAUGGCGAAGGCGGCCAUCUGGGACAACACUGACGCUGAGGCACGAAAGCGUGGGGAGCAAACAGGAUUAGAUACCCGAGUAGUCCCUGUCUCUUAUAA
This 301-nucleotide ribosomal RNA is filed under the name uncultured bacterium. RNAcentral describes it as "partial 16S ribosomal RNA". It matches the Rfam family "Bacterial small subunit ribosomal RNA", at positions 509 to 809 of the family's 1533-position model. The record is from RNAcentral.